This 363-nucleotide ribosomal RNA is filed under the name Triticum aestivum (bread wheat). RNAcentral's name for it is "partial small subunit ribosomal RNA". Lineage: Eukaryota; Viridiplantae; Streptophyta; Magnoliopsida; Poales; Poaceae. The record is from RNAcentral.
AUGGUCGAGGGCAGGAAGGCUGUCAAGUUCGCAGAGCCGAUCGUCCAAGGCACCCCUGAGGAGAUUUCUCCGUCACUUGAUGAAGUUUACCGCAGGAUUGAGGAGGCAACAUUGCAGAGGAGGUCCUCACGAGGUCAGGGGCAAUCAAGUUCCAACGUGCCUGCUGAGACGAUAUCUGAGGAUACCAUUAGAAGUGCCACCCCUAGUUCUGUGAGGCAGCAGAGGGUAGUUCACCCACCUCCCGCGGAUGACUACAAGCCCGAAGUCAAGGCCACAAAGGAGCAGAACCAGCUGUACGAUAUUAUCAAGCGAUUUGGAAAUGCGAGGGCCAGCAGCAAGCACAUGAAGGAGCUGAAAGCGUAA